UAGGCACAACAACUGACUAAGAAAAACUCAAAACUCAAUUACUAAGAUUUACCAAAUGAUGCAUUGAUCGGUGAAGACAUUAAUGAAACUCACAGCCUUAAACAAAAAUGAAAUCAGAAAUGCUACACAUAAAACCAACACUCAAACGACUAACGCAAGCAAAAAAUCCUAUCAAUUGUGAGGUAAACCAGAAUAAUCAAUUAAGUUAAAACAUAAAUGAAAAUUCAGAAAUUAGAUUGUCACUUAACCAAAACAAUCACUAACAAAAUUUACACUACAAAAGAAAAUUCCGAUGAAAUGACAAAGAAACAGAAAAUUCAAAAGAUGGAGCAAAUCAUUAAUGUUCGAGUUUUACUAAAUUUGAGUGUUCGUAAAGUGGUAGCAUAGUGACGAUUGGGUAGCGAGACAUGGAGGGACACUCAUACGGCUUCGAGCAAGCGUCUAUCGUUGAUUUUAACCCAAACCAUAACUCCGCAUAAUUGGAGGCCAGUUUCGAUGAAAAUCAACAGCAAAAACUUGCUCGAGGCUAGUGUGAAGAGAGCAACAGAAGGCCACAGAAUGGUAGAAACGGAGGUCAGCAGUGGUCUCGGCAGUGGAGGUGCUUGGCCAGCGGCAGUGUGGUUUUUUUUAGGGUAAAAAUAGAGGGAAAAUAUAAAUCUCUUGGAGAUCUACAUGUGUAUGUGAAAUUUUUGUGGUGGGGCGGUCGGAUUUGUCUCUAUAUGAGAAGAAAGAGGAAAAAUUGGGCGGCUAGGGUUUCAGGUUUAGCCUAGAUAUGCGGGGAUUGAGAGGGAUUUAAGAGAUUUGGGGUUUGGAUUCAUGGAAAAGGAGGUUGAGACAAAGAAAGGGUGAAGUUUUGGGGAGGUUUAGAGGUGGUCCGCCAGCUAUGGUGAUUUCUGACUGGCUGAGAUAGGGGAGAGCAAAGAAGAGAGAGGAAAAAGAAAGAAUAGGGGAAAAUGGGUGCAAAAUUUUGUCUCU
This 975-nucleotide long non-coding RNA is filed under the name Nicotiana benthamiana. Its description in RNAcentral is "long non-coding RNA (NBEN_LNC013943)". The record is from RNAcentral. Lineage: Eukaryota; Viridiplantae; Streptophyta; Magnoliopsida; Solanales; Solanaceae.